UUUCUUGUUUGUCAUUCCCUAUUUCCUGUACUGGAAACCAUGUUGCUGAACUCACCUAAUAAAGAAGUGUCUGCUAAUAGUUGCUCUUCAGGGGGAGAUUGUGACGAGCAGGCCUGGAUUUCAGAGCGCGCUGCAGAAUCUACUUCUCAGACCCAUUUCUGACCGUGUCUCACUCAUGUAGCAACACCCUUGGCUGCGGUGAACUCUCCUCAUCCAGACUAUACUGGCUUGUUGCUUGGAUGCAUUGCUGACUUGGGAGCUCAAGACCAAAGAUUCUUUCGAGCCUUCUGUCCUAUCAUGUAGCUGAAUACAUUCAACAAUCCCAAAAGUGACUCUCUGGCUGUGUGCGUGUGGAUGGGCUGAGCUGAGGGCUGUACCUAAGCCACUUUCAACUCUCACAGUGCUUCUUAUCCCCACUGGCCAAGGAAGCCAUGCAUCCUUUUCCUGAGCCUGCACGUCAACAUGUGGCUGCGGUGGAAAUGAAGGACACCUGUGAGCGUCACCGACCACCUCUGCAAGUCCCCUGUCAGGCUGAGGAAAGGAUGUCUCUGCGCCGCCUCCACGGACCCAUUAAAGGCAAGCGGGGUUUUUCCUCUAUUGUAAUCUCAACAACAACACACCUCAAACUGCCUUCUCUAAUAAUGAAAUUAGACACGCAGUACAUUGGAAUAUUUUAUUUUGACUUUACAUGCGGUGUUAAAAACCCAAAUAACGUAUUAUUUACACAUCCACAAUACAAGUUUACAAGAUAUCUAUACAUGUUAAAGUACUCUAUAGUAUAG
Molecule: long non-coding RNA, 782 nt
Filed under: Calidris pugnax (ruff)
Lineage: Eukaryota; Metazoa; Chordata; Aves; Charadriiformes; Scolopacidae
Description: lncRNA (ENSCPUG00000018369.1)
Source: RNAcentral